CACACACGCUUACUUCUACAGUCUCAAACUUUUUGCUUUCAUUCUGUAGAACAGAGACGAAGACAGACUGAGACUGAUGUUGGACAAACAGGACAAAGAAGACAGCAGGAUGGGAAGAAUGAUUCUGAUGUUCUGUAUACAGUUAUAAAUCCACAAACACCAUCCAACAAAGAAGAAAAGGAUGAUGUGAUGUACUCGACUGUAGUCCACAGUAACACCAUUACAUCAGUACACACUCCAGUGAUAUCAGGGGAAACCACAGUGUAUGCCAGUAUCCAAACUA
Long non-coding RNA from Clarias gariepinus (North African catfish), 283 nucleotides. RefSeq lists it as uncharacterized. Lineage: Eukaryota; Metazoa; Chordata; Actinopteri; Siluriformes; Clariidae. The transcript is spliced from 3 exons. The record is from RefSeq and is a predicted model, not a curated record.